RNAcentral lists this ribosomal RNA (447 nucleotides) under uncultured bacterium. RNAcentral's name for it is "bacterial SSU rRNA". It matches the Rfam family "Bacterial small subunit ribosomal RNA", at positions 330 to 794 of the family's 1533-position model. The record is from RNAcentral.
GCCAGACUCCUACGGGAGGCAGCAGUAAGGGAUAUUGGUCAAUGGGGGAAACCCUGAACCAGCAACGCCGCGUGAGGGAAGACGGUUUUCGGAUUGUAAACCUCUGUCCUCUGUGAAGAUGAUGACGGUAGCAGAGGAGGAAGCUCCGGCUAACUACGUGCCAGCAGCCGCGGUAAUACGUAGGGGGCAAGCGUUAUCCGGAUUUACUGGGUGUAAAGGGAGCGUAGGCGGCGCGUUAAGUCUGAUGUGAAAACCCGAGGCUCAACCACGGGAGUGCAUUGGAAACUGGCGGGCUGGAGUGCCGGAGAGGUAAGCGGAAUUCCUAGUGUAGCGGUGAAAUGCGUAGAUAUUAGGAGGAACACCAGUGGCGAAGGCGGCUUACUGGACGGCAACUGACGCUGAGGCUCGAAAGCGUGGGGAGCAAACAGGAUUAGAUACCCGAGUAAC